UGAUAUGAACAUGAAACCGCUGAAUACAAAACAACCAAAUUAAAUGGUUUUUUCAACGAUAAAAAUAUAUCACUGGAUACAUUAAUUGGAAUAUGCACUGACCGUGAGCCAACAAACACUGGCCCACACGGUGGAAUUAUACGACAAUUCGAAUUGCUGUUAAAAAGACCAUUGCAUUGGUUUGUUUGCCUUCUACACUUCAACGAACUUCCGUUUCGGCAUUUGUUUGAAGCUUUGGAUAAAUCAACCAGCACUGGACCAAGAUCGGCAACCGGAAAACUGAGCCGUCAAAUCGAAACUUGUGAAACUCUUCCGGUGGUGGACGGCUUCCAGAAAAUUGAGUUGCAAAAUAUGCCCCCUGCUCCAGAAAAAAAAAGAACUUUCCACCGAUUCGAAAUACUUAUACGACAUGGCCCAUGCAAUUUCUAGCGGCGUGGUUCCGGUGGAUAUGGCUAACAUCAUACCAGGGAAAAUUGUACAUUCUCGGUGGCUCACCAAGGCCGCUAGAUUAUUGCGAUUAUAUGUGACAACGAAAAAUCCUGAUGCAAAUUAAAAAAUUCUGGUUGAAUUUAUAAUUAAAUGUUAUGUGCCAAUGUACUUCAAUAUCAAGUAUUACAGCUCUGCCGUGUACGGCAGUGCAUUAUUUUUGAAGUUCAUUGGUUGGUCACGAUUUCUAGAACUUC
Molecule: long non-coding RNA, 683 nt
Organism: Bactrocera neohumeralis
Lineage: Eukaryota; Metazoa; Arthropoda; Insecta; Diptera; Tephritidae
Exons: 2
Source: RefSeq, a predicted model, not a curated record